Molecule: long non-coding RNA, 841 nt
Filed under: Citrus maxima (pomelo)
Lineage: Eukaryota; Viridiplantae; Streptophyta; Magnoliopsida; Sapindales; Rutaceae
Description: long non-coding RNA (CMAX_LNC003878)
Source: RNAcentral
UUCAAAUUUAUUAGCCAUUCCAUGAGACUUGAGAGAUGGACAGAGAGAGAGAGAGAACAGAAAAAGCCUGUUAAAAUAAUACGUUUGCUGUGUAUAUAGUUCAUAACAAUCUUGUUAAAAUAUGCGUUUCGCCCCUGAAAUUUGGACCAGAUUCUGGUUUAAUUGCUAAAGCAGGCAUCAAUCAUUAGGGUCAGGCUACAGUAUAACUGUGGUACCGUGCCACAGUUACACCAGCCAUUGGAUCCACUCAAAUGAGUGAGAUUCACUUAAAUAAGUGGAAAUCCAACGGUUGGGUGCAACUGUAGCCCAGUACCACAGUUGCACCACAGUUUUAUCCCAAUCAUUAUAUUUUGAAUAUGUGAACUCAAACAAGGGUCAUAACGGACCUAAAGAAACAUGAAUAAUAUAAAUGGGUACACGAUAUCAAUCUGGAAUUCUCCAAACUAUGACUAGCCCCACGUUCUCACUCAGCCGCCUCAGAAAUGAAGAUGUAACAAGGGGAAUGCAUUAACUAUUUUUAUGUACACAAAAUUCUGGAUCCAGUUAUAGAAAAUGUAAGAAGCGAUUAUAGAUCAUCAAAUUUUGUUUGUUGUUGUGGGUGGGGUGUGUGGCGGCCGGGGAAGGAAUGGAGGAGUUGAAUAUAAAUUUGUUAAAAAUGAUAUUAUGAGAAUGUUAUGUGUUGAACAGCUUUCUGAAAGGUCCAUCUUUCCGGUCUUUUGCAGCCUCGGUUAAAGCCAGGAACCUCUUGAAUCCAGUUGUUGCAGCCCCUCGUCCAAGUGCAGCUGCUCUGGUUAAUACAUCUUCCCGUGAAGUGAUAAACCCAGCGGAAGCAGAAUUCGGA